RNAcentral lists this long non-coding RNA (971 nucleotides) under Cricetulus griseus (Chinese hamster). Its description in RNAcentral is "lncRNA (ENSCGRG00015023811.2)". The record is from RNAcentral. Lineage: Eukaryota; Metazoa; Chordata; Mammalia; Rodentia; Cricetidae.
GUUUGGAACUCUUUUUAUUUCAUGUUGGCCUCAAACUUACAGUGGUCCUCCUACCUCCACUUUCCUGGGAUUUCAAGACUGAUCUGCCACACUCAGUUGCUCAAGUGGGGCUGUCUAGAGCAGACAAUCCAUUGUCCAGCAGGUGGCUACUGACAACCUGGAGAUGGGUCUCUAAUGUGUCUCCUAUGGGAUCACCAACCUGAAAAGAAUGUCUCAGGGAAAGAAUUGCUACUUCUGGAACUAAAAUAGUUGUAGUAUUUCACUCAUGUUUCCAGACAGCUGGAAAACAAGGAAAAGCAUGACCUUUGUGACUGGAUUUUAAAAAAAAAGGUCCAAACCAGAGAGACCAUUGCCACCAACUAAAGAAAUGAAAAGGAAUAUACCGGAAUACAAAUGACUUCAUACCAACACUCAGACAAUUCAGACAGAAUGGACACAUUUUCAGAAAGGCAAAAACUAUAGAAUCUGACUCAAGAGGAAGAAGACUAAACUUAACCACAUGGCUUAAGGCUCUUCUGGUGACUUCCCAGUCCAUCCUCCCCACCCUGGACACUUUGGAACUUGAAGCAGAAAUUCUAGCCUUGCAGGUAUACUUGCUAUCUUCCCUGUUGUUCCACGAUUUUGUUGGCACUUACACUUUGGCAUGCACUGUUUUCUCAGCUAUAAUGCCUUUUGUUUUGUUUUGUUUUUGUUUUUCUAGACAGGGUUUUUCUGUGUAGCUUCAUAGACCAGGUUGGCCUCGAACUCACAAAGAUCUGCUUGCCUCUGCCUCCCAAGUGCUGGGACUAAAAGUGUGUGCCACCACUGCCUGACCUGUUAUGUUAUAUUAGUAGAGAAUUUUUGCAUAUCAGGCAGCUUUCUCUGACCUUUUUCCUGGCAAACUUAUCUUUUUGUUUUUUUUCAGAAUCUCAGUGAAGGUAUUUAGGAUUAUUUUACAUUAUUAUAUUAUUAUAUAAGUAUAUAUAUUAUUA